UCGCGCUAUUGGAGCGGCCGAUGUCGGAUUAGCUAGUUGGUGAGGUAAAGGCUCACCAAGGCGACGAUCCGUAGCUGGUCUGAGAGGACGACCAGCCACACUGGGACUGAGACACGGCCCAGACUCCUACGGGAGGCAGCAGUGGGGAAUUUUGGACAAUGGGCGAAAGCCUGAUCCAGCCAUGCCGCGUGUGUGAAGAAGGCCUUCGGGUUGUAAAGCACUUUUGUCCGGAACGAAACGCCAACGACGAAUAAUCUUUGGUAAUGACGGUACCGGAAGAAUAAGCACCGGCUAACUACGUGCCAGCAGCCGCGGUAAUACGUAGGGUGCAAGCGUUAAUCGGAAUUACUGGGCGUAAAGCGUGCGCAGGCUGGUUCCGCAAGUCAGAUGUGAAAUCCCCG
Molecule: ribosomal RNA, 401 nt
Filed under: uncultured beta proteobacterium
Lineage: Bacteria; Pseudomonadati; Pseudomonadota; Betaproteobacteria
Description: bacterial SSU rRNA
Rfam family: Bacterial small subunit ribosomal RNA
Source: RNAcentral